Phascolarctos cinereus (koala) is the source of this 698-nucleotide long non-coding RNA. RefSeq lists it as uncharacterized. The record is from RefSeq and is a predicted model, not a curated record. Lineage: Eukaryota; Metazoa; Chordata; Mammalia; Diprotodontia; Phascolarctidae.
UGUUAGUCAUACAGCUACCUGGAGAGAAGAAGUGUAUGCAUAAAUGCUAAAUGGCCCGGGAAACCACUUUGGAGUUUUCUCAGGCUCAGAUCCUCAUUUUCUCUUGCAUGGUCAUCCCUAGUAUAGCCCUCGAAAACAAGGCAGCCAUUUUCUCUGAAGCUGUUAUACUCAGCAAACCAGAUAGAAAAGCUUGAUAAAGCCACAGCUCUCUUCCGUGCCUGCAGCAAUCCGAGGGGAAAAACAAUCAACCACAAACAGAUAUAGCAACAAUUUGUGUCUGGACUCCAGGAGAGUGGAAUGAUGACAAGAAAACCAUCAGGGAUGGCAUUUAUGUCCAGAUAAAGAAAGUGAGGGGCCAGAGGUCGUGACCUGCCAAGGAUCGCAGUUUAAGUGGUAUCACCUGGAUCUAACCCCUAGAUCUCCUGAAGUUAAGUCCAGUACUCUCAGUACCCCAAACGUGGGCAAAGUGAGAAGAUCGAACCCCAAAGGGUUCUAACAAUCUAAGCAUCCCCUCAUUUUCCUUACAUGUUGGCUCAAACUGAGUGAUGGGAGCAAAUAACAUGUAAAGAAGGGAAAUAUUCUAGAGAAGAUGGUCUGCUGUUUAUUGCUGGCAGUGAAUGGGAUGGAUUGGGGAAAUUCUUUUAUCAAUCAAUCAAGUAUUUAUUUAUUAAUUAAGCAGGCUAGAUUAGAAUAAUGAA